Dermacentor andersoni is the source of this 184-nucleotide small nuclear RNA. RefSeq annotates it as U2 spliceosomal RNA. The record is from RefSeq and is a predicted model, not a curated record. Lineage: Eukaryota; Metazoa; Arthropoda; Arachnida; Ixodida; Ixodidae.
AGACAUGGCCGAUGUGGCUCAAUGUGUGGCAUCUGUUCUUAUCGGCUUAAUAUCCAAUACAGGUUGUAUCUGGAUCUAAGAUAUUAAACUUAUUUUUGCAAGUCGGCGGAGUGCUUAUAGCCUGCUUCACCCUCGUCACGGGUUGGCCCGGUAUUGCACAAUCUUUGGGAUCAGCCCAUGUAUG